RNAcentral lists this long non-coding RNA (1030 nucleotides) under Equus caballus (horse). RNAcentral's name for it is "lncRNA (ENSECAG00000053430.1)". Lineage: Eukaryota; Metazoa; Chordata; Mammalia; Perissodactyla; Equidae. The record is from RNAcentral.
CAAAAAACAAAACAGAGUAGAAUCUUUAUGAAACUCUCCUGAGAGACUCUCAUAACACGGUUCAAAUACAUGAGAACAAAAAUCUUGCUACUGGGUGGUGUAUUCGUUUCCCUGGCUGCCAUAACAAAUUACCACAAACUGAGUGCCUGAGAAAUUUGCUCUCACAGUUCUGGAGGCCAGAAUUCUGAAAUCAAAGUGUCAGCAGAAUCUCAGAAGGCUCUAGGAGAGGAUCUGGCUUGUGGACACAUCAUCCCAAACUCUGCCUCUGUCAUCACAUAGUGUUUUUCUUGUGCUUCUGUCUGUAAGUCUCUGCUCCUCUUCUUAUAAGGACACCAGUCACGUUGGAUUACUGCCCAUCCUAAUGACCUCCUCUUAACUUGACUACAUCUGCAAAGACAUUAUUUCCAAAUAAGGUCAUAUUCACAGGUGCUGGGGGUUAGGACUUCAGCAUAUCUUUUGGAAGGGGACACAAUUCAACCCAUAAGAGAUGGGAAGACUCAAUGUUAAAAAGAUGCACAUUUUCAAACCAAUCUGUAAAUCCUAUGCGAUCUCAAUAAAAAUCCCAAAGGGAUUCCAAGUGGAUUCUGAAACUCAGAGGGGGAGGGGAGCAAUAUGAAAAUAGCCUAAGUGUGUGUGAUACUAAUGGAGGAGCAGAUGGAUCAGUGCAACACGAUAGUGCAGACCCAAUUGAGCGAGUGUGUAUGUGUGUGUUAUGGGUUGAAUUGUGUCCCUCUAAAAUCCACAUGUCGAAAUUCUAACCCACAGUACCUCAGAAUUUAACUGUAUUUGGAGAUGGGGUCUUUAAGGAGGUAUUUAAAUUAAAUGAGAUCGUUAGGUUUGGCUUUAAUACAAUAUGAUUGGUGUCCUUAUAAGAAGAGGAGAUUAGGACACAGACACGCACAGAGGUAAGCCCAAGUGAAUAACUUGAUCUUGGACUUCUAGCUUCAGAACUGUGAGCAAACAAAUGUCUGUUGUUUAAGCCAGCCAGUCGGUGGUGCAUUGUUACCGCAGCCCUAGCAGACGAACACAG